UACAGAGGUCCCAAGCGUUGUUCGGAUUCAUUGGGCGUAAAGGGUGCGUAGGCGGCGCGGUAAGUCGGGUGUGAAAUCUCGGGGCUUAACUCCGAAACUGCAUUCGAUACUGCCGUGCUUGAGGACUGGAGAGGAGACUGGAAUUUACGGUGUAGCGGUGAAAUGCGUAGAUAUCGGAAGGAAGACCAGUGGCGAAGGCGGGUCUCUGGACAGUUCCUGACGCUGAGGCACGAAGGUCAGGGGAGCAAACGGG
This 253-nucleotide ribosomal RNA is filed under the name uncultured bacterium. RNAcentral's name for it is "partial 16S ribosomal RNA". It matches the Rfam family "Bacterial small subunit ribosomal RNA", at positions 524 to 776 of the family's 1533-position model. The record is from RNAcentral.